AUGAACGCUGGCGGCGUGCCUAAUACCUGCAAGUCGAGCGCACAGACGAGGAGCUUGCUCCUUUGACGUUAGCGGCGGACGGGUGAGUAACACGUAGGUAACCUACCUAUAAGACUGGGAUAACUUCGGGAAACCGGAGCUAAUACCGGAUAAUAUUUCGAACCGCAUGGUUCGAUAGUGAAAGAUGGCUUUGCUAUCACUUAUAGAUGGACCUGCGCCGUAUUAGCUAGUUGGUAAGGUAACGGCUUACCAAGGCAACGAUACGUAGCCGACCUGAGAGGGUGAUCGGCCACACUGGAACUGAGACACGGUCCAGACUCCUACGGGAGGCAGCAGUAGGGAAUCUUCCGCAAUGGGCGAAAGCCUGACGGAGCAACGCCGCGUGAGUGAUGAAGGUCUUCGGAUCGUAAAACUCUGUUAUUAGGGAAGAACAAACGUGUAAGUAACUGUGCACGUCUUGACGGUACCUAAUCAGAAAGCCACGGCUAACUACGUG
This 496-nucleotide ribosomal RNA is filed under the name uncultured bacterium. Its description in RNAcentral is "partial 16S ribosomal RNA". It matches the Rfam family "Bacterial small subunit ribosomal RNA", at positions 29 to 507 of the family's 1533-position model. The record is from RNAcentral.